RNAcentral lists this ribosomal RNA (465 nucleotides) under uncultured bacterium. Its description in RNAcentral is "SSU rRNA". It matches the Rfam family "Bacterial small subunit ribosomal RNA", at positions 26 to 518 of the family's 1533-position model. The record is from RNAcentral.
AGGACUAACGCUGGCGGCGUGCCUAACACAUGCAAGUCGAACGAAGUAGCAAUACUUAGUGGCAGACGGGUGAGUAACACGUAGUCAACCUGCCCUUCAAUGGGGGAUAACUAGCCGAAAGGUUAGCUAAUACCGCAUACGAUCUCUGAGUGGCAUCACUCGGCGAUGAAAGGAGUAAUCCGUUGAAGGAGGGGACUGCGUCCCAUUAGUUAGUUGGUGGGGUAAUGGCCUACCAAGACUCCGAUGGGUAGCUGGCUUGAGAGAGCGACCAGCCACACUGGAACUGAGACACGGUCCAGACUCCUACGGGAGGCAGCAGUGAGGAAUUUUCCGCAAUGGGGGAAACCCUGACGGAGCGACGCCGCGUGUGGGAAGAAGGCCUUCGGGUCGUAAACCACUGUCGAGGGGGACGAUAUUGACGGUACCCCUGGAGGAAGCCCCGGCUAACUACGUGUCAGCAGCCGC